This 253-nucleotide ribosomal RNA is filed under the name uncultured bacterium. RNAcentral's name for it is "partial 16S ribosomal RNA". It matches the Rfam family "Bacterial small subunit ribosomal RNA", at positions 524 to 776 of the family's 1533-position model. The record is from RNAcentral.
UACAGAGGAUGCAAGCGUUAUCCGGAAUGAUUGGGCGUAAAGCGUCUGUAGGUGGCUUUUUAAGUCCGCCGUCAAAUCCCAGGGCUCAACUCUGGACAGGCGGUGGAAACUACCAAGCUGGAGUACGGUAGGGGCAGAGGGAAUUUCCGGUGGAGCGGUGAAAUGCGCAGAUAUCAGGAGGAACACCAAUGGCGAAGGCAGCUCGCUGGGACGGUACUGACGCUGAGACGCGAAAGCGUGGGGAGCAAACAGG